UCAACGCUGGCGGCGUGCCUAACACAUGCAAGUCGAGCGCGAAAGGGAGCUUCGGUUCCUGAGUAGAGCGGCGGACGGGUGAGUAACACGUGGGUAACCUAUCCUCGGGUGGGGAAUAACUUCGGGAAACCGGGGCUAAUUCCGCAUGAUAUCCAAAAUUCACAAGCGUUUAGGAUCAAAGCUGGGGACCCUUCGGGGCCUGGCGCCUGAGUGAGGGGCCCGCGACCGAUUAGCUUGUUGGUGAGGUAAUGGCUCACCAAGGCUUCGAUCGGUAGCCGGCCUGAGAGGGCGGACGGCCACACUGGGACUGAGACACGGCCCAGACUCCUACGGGAGGCAGCAGUGGGGAAUUUUUGUCAAUGGGGGAAACCCUGAACAAGCAACGCCGCGUGGAGGAUGAAGGCCUUCGGGUCGUAAACUCCUGUCAGAGGGGACGAAUGUGCCUAGGGUUAAUACCCUUAGGUAUUGACGGUACCCUACGAGGAAGCCCCGGCUAACUCC
Molecule: ribosomal RNA, 501 nt
Filed under: uncultured bacterium
Lineage: Bacteria
Description: bacterial SSU rRNA
Rfam family: Bacterial small subunit ribosomal RNA
Source: RNAcentral